RNAcentral lists this long non-coding RNA (243 nucleotides) under Mytilus galloprovincialis (Mediterranean mussel). The record is from RNAcentral. Lineage: Eukaryota; Metazoa; Mollusca; Bivalvia; Mytilida; Mytilidae.
GUUGGUUGGUUGGUUGGUUGGUUGGUUGGUUGGUUGGUUGGUUGGUUGGUUGGUUGGUUGGUUGGUUGAAAUUCAAACACACAUAAAACUGUUUAAAUAGUGCCAAAACCACAUAAUUUAAUUUGAUGACCUUGACCUUUGACCUUGUGACCUUCGUCAAGGUCAUUGCCUCCACAAGUCAUUGCAAAAGACCCUAUGGGUCAAGGACCUUUGUUUAAGAGUUUUGCCUAAAUAUGGCUUUUU